CCUGAAGAAGAGCUCGCGUCAGAUUAGCUAGUUGGUGAGGUAACGGCUUACCAAGGCAUCGAUCUGUAGCUGGUCUGAGAGGAUGACCAGCCACACUGGGACUGAGACACGGCCCAGACUCCUACGGGAGGCAGCAGUGAGGAAUUUUCCGCAAUGGGCGCAAGCCUGACGGAGUAAUACCGCGUGCGGGAGGAAGGUCUAUUGACUGUAAACCGCUUUUAUUAAGAAAGAAUUCUGACGGUACUUAAUGAAUAAGCCUCGGCUAACUCCGUGCCAGCAGCCGCGGUAAUACGGAGGAGGCAAGCGUUAUCCGGAAUUAUUGGGCGUAAAGCGUCCGUAGGUGGUGAAUGCAAGUCGGCUGUCAAAGCCCGUGGCUCAACCACGGAAAGGCAGUGGAAACUACAAAACUCGAGUGCAGUAGGGGCAGAGGGAA
This 433-nucleotide ribosomal RNA is filed under the name uncultured bacterium. Its description in RNAcentral is "bacterial SSU rRNA". It matches the Rfam family "Bacterial small subunit ribosomal RNA", at positions 218 to 666 of the family's 1533-position model. The record is from RNAcentral.